This 781-nucleotide ribosomal RNA is filed under the name Lentilactobacillus buchneri. RNAcentral describes it as "bacterial SSU rRNA". It matches the Rfam family "Bacterial small subunit ribosomal RNA", at positions 48 to 785 of the family's 1533-position model. Lineage: Bacteria; Bacillati; Bacillota; Bacilli; Lactobacillales; Lactobacillaceae. The record is from RNAcentral.
CUAAUACAUGCAAGUCGAACGCGUCUCCGUUGAUGAUUUUAGGUGCUUGCACUUGAAAGAUUUAACAUUGAGACGAGUGGCGAACUGGUGAGUAACACGUGGGUAACCUGCCCUUGAAGUAGGGGAUAACACUUGGAAACAGGUGCUAAUACCGUAUAACAACCAAAACCACCUGGUUUUGGUUUAAAAGACGGCUUCGGCUGUCACUUUAGGAUGGACCCGCGGCGUAUUAGCUUGUUGGUAAGGUAACGGCCUACCAAGGCGAUGAUACGUAGCCGACCUGAGAGGGUAAUCGGCCACAUUGGGACUGAGACACGGCCCAAACUCCUACGGGAGGCAGCAGUAGGGAAUCUUCCACAAUGGACGAAAGUCUGAUGGAGCAACGCCGCGUGAGUGAUGAAGGGUUUCGGCUCGUAAAACUCUGUUGUUGGAGAAGAACAGGUGUCAGAGUAACUGUUGACAUCUUGACGGUAUCCAACCAGAAAGCCACGGCUAACUACGUGCCAGCAGCCGCGGUAAUACGUAGGUGGCAAGCGUUGUCCGGAUUUAUUGGGCGUAAAGCGAGCGCAGGCGGUUUUUUAGGUCUGAUGUGAAAGCCUUCGGCUUAACCGGAGAAGUGCAUCGGAAACCGGGAGACUUGAGUGCAGAAGAGGACAGUGGAACUCCAUGUGUAGCGGUGAAAUGCGUAGAUAUAUGGAAGAACACCAGUGGCGAAGGCGGCUGUCUGGUCUGUAACUGACGCUGAGGCUCGAAAGCAUGGGUAGCGAACAGGAUUAGAUAC